This 23-nucleotide small nuclear RNA is filed under the name Arabidopsis thaliana (thale cress). Its description in RNAcentral is "snRNA_14283". The record is from RNAcentral. Lineage: Eukaryota; Viridiplantae; Streptophyta; Magnoliopsida; Brassicales; Brassicaceae.
UUGCGCAAUCGGAGAAUGGAACA